RNAcentral lists this ribosomal RNA (222 nucleotides) under uncultured bacterium. Its description in RNAcentral is "partial 16S ribosomal RNA". It matches the Rfam family "Bacterial small subunit ribosomal RNA", at positions 1281 to 1500 of the family's 1533-position model. The record is from RNAcentral.
CUUAGUCUCAGUUCGGAUUGUAGGCUGAAACUCGCCUACAUGAAGCUGGAGUUGCUAGUAAUCGCGAAUCAGCAUGUCGCGGUGAAUACGUUCCCGGGCCUUGUACACACCGCCCGUCACACCAUGAGAGUUGGCAAUACCCAACGUACGUGAUCUAACCCGCAAGGGAGGAAGCGUCCUAAGGUAGGGUCAGCGAUUGGGGUGAAGUCGUAACAAGGUAUC